GCAUAACGCGAAGAACCUUACCUACUCUUGACAUCCAGAGAACUUAGCAGAGAUGCUUUGGUGCCUUCGGGAACUCUGAGACAGGUGCUGCAUGGCUGUCGUCAGCUCGUGUUGUGAAAUGUUGGGUUAAGUCCCGCAACGAGCGCAACCCUUAUCCUUUGUUGCCAGCGAUUCGGUCGGGAACUCAAAGGAGACUGCCAGUGAUAAACUGGAGGAAGGUGGGGAUGACGUCAAGUCAUCAUGGCCCUUACGAGUAGGGCUACACACGUGCUACAAUGGCAUAUACAAAGAGAAGCGACCUCGCGAGAGCAAGCGGACCUCAUAAAGUAUGUCGUAGUCCGGAUUGGAGUCUGCAACUCGACUCCAUGAAGUCGGAAUCGCUAGUAAUCGUGGAUCAGAAUGCCACGGUGAAUACGUUCCCGGGUCUUGUACACACCG
This 438-nucleotide ribosomal RNA is filed under the name uncultured bacterium. RNAcentral describes it as "bacterial SSU rRNA". It matches the Rfam family "Bacterial small subunit ribosomal RNA", at positions 954 to 1392 of the family's 1533-position model. The record is from RNAcentral.